Molecule: long non-coding RNA, 1582 nt
Filed under: Physcomitrium patens
Lineage: Eukaryota; Viridiplantae; Streptophyta; Bryopsida; Funariales; Funariaceae
Description: long non-coding RNA (PPAT_LNC004845)
Source: RNAcentral
CAAGCUUUACCUUCUUAUCUACCAUUAAUAUAUCUCGUAUCUACAGUGACUUCUGGUACUUGAAAAGAUUCAAGUAUGGUAUAAACCUCUCUUGAAUGAAUCUCAACAAUCUUAUCAUUAUCCCUUAACCCAAUAGAUGUAAUCAAUUCCAAUGAAUCUUUCAGUCCAUUUUCUUCAUAAACACCAAAAAUCCUCUCAUUAUCUUGCAAUGUACCUAACUUGCGUAAUCCUCCUUCAAUAUUAUAUAAUCUUUCUUAUACAUAAUAUUUCCAUUCUCUAAAAUACCAAUAAAACUCGCAUCAAAGGCACCUUCAUCUCGUGAGAGCAUCUCCUCUUUUGUACCUCCAUAAACUUGCUUUACAGUGGUACCUCCCCAAAAUCCUUAAAUCCUUCAACAAUCUUUGACAAUGGUUUCUCCCUCAACCUAUCUCAAUUCCGUUCAUGGUUAGGAGGUACUGUUAGAAAUUAUACAACUUUCCUCCCAUCCUCGCUACGUACCUUUGCAUAAGCAGAACCAUCGUCAUGUACUUUUGUUUCCAUCCGUGUUGUCGUAAUAUAAGGUUGUCCUAAAAUCAACGGAUAAGACAUUGUAUCUUGAACAAAGAAAUGUUGCUCCAUCGCAACAUCCCUAAUCCGAAUUUUGACAUCUAGACAAGCUCCAUAUAAUUUGCCCCGUGUAUUAUUAGCUGCUCAAAUUGCCCAUCCAUGUUCCAUAUCAAUUGGCCAUUUUUGCUUCUUAUAAAGAUCUUUAGACAUGAAAUUUAUUUCAGAACCAUGGUCGACUAACGCAACAAUUGAUUCUUCUAUAUCUCCUACUUUCACCAAUACCUCAGUAGUUGCCCUUGCUCAAUGCUUUCAAGUAUAAUGGCUCAAAGUUUCCAUUUCCUUAUCACUAUAAUCUUCGAAACGUACUUGUUGAUUAUACCCAUUCUUUUCAUUUGUUGGUUGCUUGUAACCAAUAUCAACCUCUUCUUCAUCUUUAUAUAUUCUUGCAUCAAUAGCAUGACUCAUUCCAGUUUUGUCCAUUAAUUACCUCUUUCGCUUAAUGCUGUCAAUGAUAACAUCAUGAAACUCCUUCUUUGCAAUUCCCAAAACUUCUUUCAAUGUGAAUUCUAUCUUAGCGUUUAAUAUAUGUUCGUUCUUCCAACACCCCUUUCAAAUUUGUUACCGCUUUAAUGUCAAAAAGUAGCUUAUAAGCAAUUGAUUUGCCCUUAUCUUUUGUCUCCCUUGUUUUUUCUUCCAAUGAUACUGAGGUAUCCUUUAUACGCAAUUCUUAUGAAGCUGCCUCCCGAGCCUUGUCUCCUCGAAUUUGCUUCUUAGAAGAAUUUCCUUCUCUCAUAUCAUCAAAAUUUCCUUGUCUCUAUUCUUCCAUGAAAGCUUCAUGUUGGCUCUUAGCAAUAUAUGCAUGAACUGAAAGAGACUCAACAGGAUCUUUCCAAUCUGUUGCACCUCGUAUUGUAGCUGUAGUCCUCAAUAACGCUUCUUGAGGUAAUUUCCCUUCUUGCAUUGUAGAAAUGGCAGAAGCCCAAAACUCACUAGUUUUCGUACUUGCACUAAGGUCAUCAUCUACUCUAGCACCAUA